Molecule: ribosomal RNA, 232 nt
Filed under: uncultured bacterium
Lineage: Bacteria
Description: partial 16S ribosomal RNA
Rfam family: Bacterial small subunit ribosomal RNA
Source: RNAcentral
CGGGACGGGUGAGUAAUGUCUGGGAAACUGCCUGAUGGAGGGGGGUAACUACUGGAAACGGUAGCUAAUACCGCAUAACGUCGCAAGACCAAAGAGGGGGACCUUCGGGCCUCUUGCCAUCGGAUGUGCCCAGAUGGGAUUAGCUAGUAGGUGGGGUAACGGCUCACCUAGGCGACGAUCCCUAGCUGGUCUGAGAGGAUGACCAGCCACAUGGAACUGAGACACGAUCCGG